GGAAAUGUGCCUGAACAAAAGGGUAACUUUGAUAGAGUUAAUGAUAGAGAUUAAACCCUCUCAUUUCCU
This 69-nucleotide transfer RNA is filed under the name Anolis cybotes (large-headed anole). RNAcentral describes it as "tRNA-Ile". Lineage: Eukaryota; Metazoa; Chordata; Lepidosauria; Squamata; Anolidae. The record is from RNAcentral.